RNAcentral lists this ribosomal RNA (524 nucleotides) under Hormogaster castillana. RNAcentral's name for it is "partial 16S ribosomal RNA". The record is from RNAcentral. Lineage: Eukaryota; Metazoa; Annelida; Clitellata; Crassiclitellata; Hormogastridae.
AUGAAACCAAUCUUCAUAAAAAAUUUUAAUCAAAACAAUUAAAAAAUUUUGUCAUAAAAUAAUAAAUAAAUUAGUACCUUAAGGGAACUUAAAAUAACUUUAAGUAGUGAUAUAAUCACGUACCUUGUGCAUUAUGGUUUUACAAGACAAAAAUUAAAUAUAUUAAUCCCGAAUUUUAUGCGAGCUGACUAAAUAUUGCUAAGAGCCCACUAUUAGUUAUAGCACCAACUUUAGAAAAUAUUUAGUCAGGGGCUACAUACCAACCGCGCUAAAAAAUUGCUGGUUCUUGAUGAGUUUUAUUAAUUAAAGCAUGUAGAAAAUCUACCCUGUAAAAUUAUAGAGGAUAAGCCCUAUAAUAUUAAACCACAUAAAAAUAUAUAAUUACAACUAUAGGCCUAAAAACAGCCACCUAUAACACUUUACCGUGAAACUGUAAAAGCUAAUAAAUACUAUAGCGUGUUCCAUAUAAUCAAGACAUAGGAAAAAUAAAAAUCCUUUUUUACUAUGUAAAAAUAAGUAUUAAA